This 253-nucleotide ribosomal RNA is filed under the name uncultured bacterium. RNAcentral describes it as "partial 16S ribosomal RNA". It matches the Rfam family "Bacterial small subunit ribosomal RNA", at positions 524 to 776 of the family's 1533-position model. The record is from RNAcentral.
UACGUAGGGGGCAAGCGUUGUCCGGAAUCAUUGGGCGUAAAGAGCGUGUAGGCGGCCAGAAAAGUCCGCUGUGAAAACUCGAGGCUCAACUUCGAGCUGUCGGUGGAAACUUUCUGGCUAGAGUCCGGAAGAGGAGAAUGGAAUUCCUGGUGUAGCGGUGCAAUGCGCAGAUAUCAGGAAGAACACCCGUGGCGAAGGCGGUUCUCUGGGACGGUACUGACGCUGAGACGCGAAAGCGUGGGGAGCGAACAGG